AGUGAACGCUGGCGGUAGGCCUAACACAUGCAAGUCGAACGGCAGCACAGUAAGAGCUUGCUCUUACGGGUGGCGAGUGGCGGACGGGUGAGGAAUACAUCGGAAUCUACUUUUUCGUGGGGGAUAACGUAGGGAAACUUACGCUAAUACCGCAUACGACCUACGGGUGAAAGCAGGGGAUCUUCGGACUUUUCGCGACUCAAUUAGCUGAUGUCGGAUUAGCUAGUUGGCGGGGUAGAGGCCCACCAAGGCGACGAUCCGUAGCUGGUCUGAGAGGAUGAUCGGCCACACUGGAACUGAGACACGGUCCAGACUCCUACGGGAGGCAGCAGUGGGGAAUAUUGGACAAUGGGCGCAAGCCUGAUCCAGCCAUACCGCGUGGGUGAAGAAGGCCUUCGGGUUGUAAAGCCCUUUUGUUGGGAAAGAAAAGCAGCAGGUUAAUACCCCGCUGUUCUGACGGUACCCAAAGAAUAAGCACCGGCUAACUUCGUG
Molecule: ribosomal RNA, 492 nt
Filed under: uncultured bacterium
Lineage: Bacteria
Description: partial 16S ribosomal RNA
Rfam family: Bacterial small subunit ribosomal RNA
Source: RNAcentral